This 442-nucleotide ribosomal RNA is filed under the name uncultured bacterium. Its description in RNAcentral is "partial 16S ribosomal RNA". It matches the Rfam family "Bacterial small subunit ribosomal RNA", at positions 338 to 795 of the family's 1533-position model. The record is from RNAcentral.
CCUACGGGUGGCAGCAGUGGGGAAUAUUGCACAAUGGGGGGAACCCUGAUGCAGCGACGCCGCGUGAGGGAAGACGGCCUUCGGGUUGUAAACCUCUGUCGCAGGGGACGAAGGAGAUGACGGUACCCUGUGAGGAAGCCACGGCUAACUACGUGCCAGCAGCCGCGGUAAUACGUAGGUGGCGAGCGUUGUCCGGAAUUACUGGGUGUAAAGGGUGCGCAGGCGGAAGAUCAAGUCAGCGGUAAAAUUGAGAGGCUCAACCUCUUCGAGCCGUUGAAACUGGUUUUCUUGAGUGAGUGAGAAGUAUGCGGAAUGCGUGGUGUAGCGGUGAAAUGCAUAGAUAUCACGCAGAACUCCGAUUGCGAAGGCAGCAUACCGGCGCUCAACUGACGCUCAUGCACGAAAGUGUGGGUAUCGAACAGGAUUAGAUACCCCAGUAGUC